UCCCUGAUGGUUCAGAUGGUAAAGAAUCUGCCUGCAAUGCAGGAGACCCAGGUUCGAUUCCUGGGUCGGGAA
Molecule: transfer RNA, 72 nt
Filed under: Bos taurus (domestic cattle)
Lineage: Eukaryota; Metazoa; Chordata; Mammalia; Artiodactyla; Bovidae
Also listed under: 1 other name
Rfam family: tRNA
About the family: Transfer RNA (tRNA) molecules are approximately 80 nucleotides in length.
Source: Rfam by way of RNAcentral